RNAcentral lists this long non-coding RNA (1159 nucleotides) under Fragaria vesca (wild strawberry). RNAcentral's name for it is "long non-coding RNA (FVES_LNC005319)". Lineage: Eukaryota; Viridiplantae; Streptophyta; Magnoliopsida; Rosales; Rosaceae. The record is from RNAcentral.
UACAUGUGAUGUUUUGAUGUUCAUAAUUAAGAAGCGAAGAAGAGUCUACUUUAGAUAUAUUUCAUGUGUGCUUCAUUGUUAAAUCUUGAGAAAGCUGUAGAUUGAUUUCUAGAUUGCUACUCCUAAUUCGGGAAUUAGUAGAUAAUAUUUAGAGAUUUAUCAAGUAAUGUGGUGGAAUCCGAUGCCUUAGUUACUUCGUCAUCAAGGUAAUUUUUAUCUAUUUUAUUUGUCUUAGCUAUUUCACCAUCAAUUUUCAUUCAACUAGGUUAGUGUUAAAUUAAUUUAGAUUCGAUUAGUUUUUCCUAUUUUCAUACAUUUCCUGUGGGUUCGACCUCGUUCUUACAUAUUUGUGCUGCAACUGAUUCGUGCGCUUGCGAGUAACAUUUUAAAACACAUCAAGUUUUUGGCGCCGUUGCCGGGGAGUGUAACGGAAAACUAAUUUUGUUUAAGUUGAUUUAAUUCUUCCACUAGUAAUAGCUUAGUUUUCAAUCAUAAAAAAAAAACUAAAAAAAAAAGGUCUGCAACAUUUACGUACAUAGCAACUUUAGUUUUAGAUUUGUAGUUGUCUCUUUUGACUUUGGUUACAUGCAUUAUAUCUAUAUAUCAACUUGCAUAGCAUUGAUAACAAAUAGUUACUUGUGUUCUUGUUUUGCCAAACCUACGUUUCCUAACUUCACUUUUUUGUCUAUUUUAUUUCAUUUUGGUAACAUAGGAAUAGGAACAAACAUAAAAAAAUAAAAAAAAUAAAAAAAAUAAAAAAAUUGUAGACUACAUUUACGUUUUAUAUAUCCAUUGCAUAGAGUAGUAUUAGCUAGCUUCAUUUCACAUCAUUUUGCACUUUUUUAGGCUACUAUUGUUCUUACUAUUCUUACAAUAGUUUAUUUUCAAGGUACUUUUCUUGAGUCAAAGAAGGAGAGCUAGCCAAAGAAGAUCAAAAUUUGGAGGAACAAAGUGACAAUUGAUCGAAGAAGAGAAAGUUAUGGUUGCCAUGCGGUGAAAACAGCGAGAGAAAAAAAAAAAGAAAAUUCUUGCCUCGGCAGAAAUUUCUUUUCUUUUCCGGGUGUGUCAUUUCUAAGUUCUCUACUUUUUGCUUAUUUGGUUAUUUUCCUUUUGAUCAUUGUUGUACAUUUUUUGGUAAUAUAUAUAUAUAUAUAUAUAU